UUAAGCGACUAAGCGUACACGGUGGAUGCCCUGGCAGUCAGAGGCGAUGAAGGACGUGCUAAUCUGCGAUAAGCGUCGGUAAGGUGAUAUGAACCGUUAUAACCGGCGAUUUCCGAAUGGGGAAACCCAGUGUGUUUCGACACACUAUCAUUAACUGAAUCCAUAGGUUAAUGAGGCGAACCGGGGGAACUGAAACAUCUAAGUACCCCGAGGAAAAGAAAUCAACCGAGAUUCCCCCAGUAGCGGCGAGCGAACGGGGAGCAGCCCAGAGCCUGAAUCAGUGUGUGUGUUAGUGGAAGCGUCUGGAAAGGCGCGCGAUACAGGGUGACAGCCCCGUACACAAAAAUGCACAUGCUGUGAGCUCGAUGAGUAGGGCGGGACACGUGGUAUCCUGUCUGAAUAUGGGGGGACCAUCCUCCAAGGCUAAAUACUCCUGACUGACCGAUAGUGAACCAGUACCGUGAGGGAAAGGCGAAAAGAACCCCGGCGAGGGGAGUGAAAAAGAACCUGAAACCGUGUACGUACAAGCAGUGGGAGCACGCUUAGGCGUGUGACUGCGUACCUUUUGUAUAAUGGGUCAGCGACUUAUAUUCUGUAGCAAGGUUAACCGAAUAGGGGAGCCGAAGGGAAACCGAGUCUUAACUGGGCGUUAAGUUGCAGGGUAUAGACCCGAAACCCGGUGAUCUAGCCAUGGGCAGGUUGAAGGUUGGGUAACACUAACUGGAGGACCGAACCGACUAAUGUUGAAAAAUUAGCGGAUGACUUGUGGCUGGGGGUGAAAGGCCAAUCAAACCGGGAGAUAGCUGGUUCUCCCCGAAAGCUAUUUAGGUAGCGCCUCGUGAAUUCAUCUCCGGGGGUAGAGCACUGUUUCGGCAAGGGGGUCAUCCCGACUUACCAACCCGAUGCAAACUGCGAAUACCGGAGAAUGUUAUCACGGGAGACACACGGCGGGUGCUAACGUCCGUCGUGAAGAGGGAAACAACCCAGACCGCCAGCUAAGGUCCCAAAGUCAUGGUUAAGUGGGAAACGAUGUGGGAAGGCCCAGACAGCCAGGAUGUUGGCUUAGAAGCAGCCAUCAUUUAAAGAAAGCGUAAUAGCUCACUGGUCGAGUCGGCCUGCGCGGAAGAUGUAACGGGGCUAAACCAUGCACCGAAGCUGCGGCAGCGACGCUUAUGCGUUGUUGGGUAGGGGAGCGUUCUGUAAGCCUGUGAAGGUGUGCUGUGAGGCAUGCUGGAGGUAUCAGAAGUGCGAAUGCUGACAUAAGUAACGAUAAAGCGGGUGAAAAGCCCGCUCGCCGGAAGACCAAGGGUUCCUGUCCAACGUUAAUCGGGGCAGGGUGAGUCGACCCCUAAGGCGAGGCCGAAAGGCGUAGUCGAUGGGAAACAGGUUAAUAUUCCUGUACUUGGUGUUACUGCGAAGGGGGGACGGAGAAGGCUAUGUUGACCGGGCGACGGUUGUCCCGGUUUAAGCGUGUAGGCUGGUUUUCCAGGCAAAUCCGGAAAAUCAAGGCUGAGGCGUGAUGACGAGGCACUACGGUGCUGAAGCAACAAAUGCCCUGCUUCCAGGAAAAGCCUCUAAGCAUCAGGUAACAUCAAAUCGUACCCCAAACCGACACAGGUGGUCAGGUAGAGAAUACCAAGGCGCUUGAGAGAACUCGGGUGAAGGAACUAGGCAAAAUGGUGCCGUAACUUCGGGAGAAGGCACGCUGAUAUGUAGGUGAAGUCCCUCGCGGAUGGAGCUGAAAUCAGUCGAAGAUACCAGCUGGCUGCAACUGUUUAUUAAAAACACAGCACUGUGCAAACACGAAAGUGGACGUAUACGGUGUGACGCCUGCCCGGUGCCGGAAGGUUAAUUGAUGGGGUCAGCGCAAGCGAAGCUCUUGAUCGAAGCCCCGGUAAACGGCGGCCGUAACUAUAACGGUCCUAAGGUAGCGAAAUUCCUUGUCGGGUAAGUUCCGACCUGCACGAAUGGCGUAAUGAUGGCCAGGCUGUCUCCACCCGAGACUCAGUGAAAUUGAACUCGCUGUGAAGAUGCAGUGUACCCGCGGCAAGACGGAAAGACCCCGUGAACCUUUACUAUAGCUUGACACUGAACAUUGAGCCUUGAUGUGUAGGAUAGGUGGGAGGCUUAGAAGUGUGGACGCCAGUCUGCAUGGAGCCGACCUUGAAAUACCACCCUUUAAUGUUUGAUGUUCUAACGUUGACCCGUAAUCCGGGUUGCGGACAGUGUCUGGUGGGUAGUUUGACUGGGGCGGUCUCCUCCUAAAGAGUAACGGAGGAGCACGAAGGUUGGCUAAUCCUGGUCGGACAUCAGGAGGUUAGUGCAAUGGCAUAAGCCAGCUUGACUGCGAGCGUGACGGCGCGAGCAGGUGCGAAAGCAGGUCAUAGUGAUCCGGUGGUUCUGAAUGGAAGGGCCAUCGCUCAACGGAUAAAAGGUACUCCGGGGAUAACAGGCUGAUACCGCCCAAGAGUUCAUAUCGACGGCGGUGUUUGGCACCUCGAUGUCGGCUCAUCACAUCCUGGGGCUGAAGUAGGUCCCAAGGGUAUGGCUGUUCGCCAUUUAAAGUGGUACGCGAGCUGGGUUUAGAACGUCGUGAGACAGUUCGGUCCCUAUCUGCCGUGGGCGCUGGAGAACUGAGGGGGGCUGCUCCUAGUACGAGAGGACCGGAGUGGACGCAUCACUGGUGUUCGGGUUGUCAUGCCAAUGGCACUGCCCGGUAGCUAAAUGCGGAAGAGAUAAGUGCUGAAAGCAUCUAAGCACGAAACUUGCCCCGAGAUGAGUUCUCCCUGACCCUUUAAGGGUCCUGAAGGAACGUUGAAGACGACGACGUUGAUAGGCCGGGUGUGUAAGCGCAGCGAUGCGUUGAGCUAACCGGUACUAAUGAACCGUGAGGCUUAACCUU
RNAcentral lists this ribosomal RNA (2902 nucleotides) under human gut metagenome. RNAcentral's name for it is "bacterial LSU rRNA". It matches the Rfam family "Bacterial large subunit ribosomal RNA". The record is from RNAcentral.